RNAcentral lists this small RNA (4310 nucleotides) under Pan troglodytes (chimpanzee). RNAcentral describes it as "retained intron". Lineage: Eukaryota; Metazoa; Chordata; Mammalia; Primates; Hominidae. The record is from RNAcentral.
GAAAACUCAUGAAGGCUGGGGGGUGAUGUUGCCCUGUAACCCACCUGCCCACUACCCAGGUGAGUCCAGACCUGGGGCCAGGGUUAGAAAGGGCACAGGAAGGGCUUCCAGAUGCUUGGCAGAGGAAGGAUGGAAUAAAAGGAGACCCCUGGAAAUGACCCUUAGAAGCACCCAUCCCUGGGACCCUAACUUUAAAUGAUCUGUGUUUCCUUUAUAGGUCUGUCAUUUUCCAUCGUUGUGCCCUGCUUCCGCCUUCAAACUGGGUGGCCCCUGAGGGCUGCGAUCCCUGGCAGACUUAGCGCUCCCUGAGGGCAGGAAUAAAGUCGCUUCUUCCCUCUAGGUCUCCCCUUAGCCCCAGUUCAGAGCAUGGUGGCUGUCAGGACAGGGCUUGCAGAACCGCACCAGCAUGCUGGGGUCCCACCCAGAGUGGCCCUGUUAGCCCAGCACCCCCUGGUUUCCUCAAACUCCUCACAUCCUAGGCUUGUCCUACCGCUGGCUCCUCAACGAGUUCCCCAACUUCAUCCCGACGGACGGGCGUCACUUCGUGUCCCAGACCACAGGGAACCUGUACAUUGCCCGAACCAAUGCCUCAGACCUGGGCAACUACUCCUGUUUGGCCACCAGCCACAUGGACUUCUCCACCAAGAGCGUCUUCAGCAAGUUUGCUCAGCUCAACCUGGCUGCUGAAGAUACCCGGCUCUUUGCACCCAGCAUCAAGGCCCGGUUCCCAGCAGAGACCUAUGCACUGGUGGGGCAGCAGGUCACCCUGGAGUGCUUCGCCUUUGGGAACCCUGUCCCCCGGAUCAAGUGGCGCAAAGUGGACGGCUCCCUGUCCCCGCAGUGGACCACAGCUGAGCCCACUCUGCAGAUCCCCAGCGUCAGCUUUGAGGAUGAGGGCACCUACGAGUGUGAGGCGGAGAACUCCAAGGGCCGAGACACCGUGCAGGGCCGCAUCAUCGUGCAGGCUCAGCCUGAGUGGCUAAAAGUGAUCUCGGACACAGAGGCUGACAUUGGCUCCAACCUGCGUUGGGGCUGUGCAGCCGCCGGCAAGCCCCGGCCUACAGUGCGCUGGCUGCGGAACGGGGAGCCUCUGGCCUCCCAGAACCGGGUGGAGGUGUUGGCCGGGGACCUGCGGUUCUCCAAGCUGAGCCUGGAGGACUCGGGCAUGUACCAGUGUGUGGCAGAGAAUAAGCAUGGUACCAUCUACGCCAGCGCCGAGCUAGCCGUGCAAGCACUCGCCCCUGACUUCAGGCUGAAUCCCGUGAGGCGUCUGAUCCCCGCGGCCCGCGGGGGAGAGAUCGUUAUCCCCUGCCAGCCCCGGGCAGCUCCAAAGGCCGUGGUGCUCUGGAGCAAAGGCACGGAGAUUUUGGUCAACAGCAGCAGAGUGACUGUAACUCCAGAUGGCACCUUGAUCAUAAGAAACAUCAGCCGGUCAGAUGAAGGCAAAUACACCUGCUUUGCUGAGAACUUCAUGGGCAAAGCCAACAGCACUGGAAUCCUAUCUGUGCGAGAUGCAACCAAAAUCACUCUAGCCCCCUCAAGUGCCGACAUCAACUUGGGUGACAACCUGACCCUACAGUGCCAUGCCUCCCACGACCCCACCAUGGACCUCACCUUCACCUGGACCCUGGACGACUUCCCCAUCGACUUUGAUAAGCCUGGAGGGCACUACCGGAGAACUAAUGUGAAGGAGACCAUUGGGGAUCUGACCAUCCUGAAUGCCCAGCUGCGCCAUGGGGGGAAGUACACAUGCAUGGCCCAGACGGUGGUGGACAGCGCGUCCAAGGAGGCCACAGUCCUGGUCCGAGGUCCGCCAGGUCCCCCAGGAGGUGUGGUGGUGAGGGACAUUGGCGACACCACCAUCCAGCUCAGCUGGAGCCGUGGCUUCGACAACCACAGCCCCAUCGCUAAGUACACCCUGCAAGCUCGCACUCCACCUGCAGGGAAGUGGAAGCAGGUUCGGACCAAUCCUGCAAACAUCGAGGGCAAUGCCGAGACUGCACAGGUGCUGGGCCUCACCCCCUGGAUGGACUAUGAGUUCCGGGUCAUAGCCAGCAACAUUCUGGGCACUGGGGAGCCUAGUGGGCCCUCCAGCAAAAUCCGGACCAGGGAAGCAGCCCCCUCGGUGGCACCCUCAGGACUCAGCGGAGGAGGUGGAGCCCCCGGAGAGCUCAUCGUCAACUGGACGCCCAUGUCACGGGAGUACCAGAACGGAGACGGCUUCGGCUACCUGCUGUCCUUCCGCAGGCAGGGCAGCACUCACUGGCAGACCGCCCGGGUGCCUGGCGCCGAUGCCCAGUACUUUGUCUACAGCAACGAGAGCGUCCGGCCCUACACGCCCUUUGAGGUCAAGAUCCGCAGCUACAACCGCCGCGGGGAUGGGCCCGAGAGCCUCACUGCACUCGUGUACUCAGCUGAGGAAGAGCCCAGGGUGGCCCCUACCAAGGUGUGGGCCAAAGGGGUCUCAUCCUCAGAGAUGAACGUGACCUGGGAACCCGUGCAGCAGGACAUGAAUGGUAUCCUCCUGGGGUAUGAGAUCCGCUACUGGAAAGCUGGGGACAAAGAAGCAGCUGCGGACCGAGUGAGGACAGCAGGGCUGGACACCAGUGCCCGAGUCAGCGGCCUGCAUCCCAACACCAAGUACCAUGUGACCGUGAGGGCCUACAACCGGGCUGGCACUGGGCCUGCCAGCCCUUCUGCCAACGCCACGACCAUGAAGCCCCCUCCGCGGCGACCUCCUGGCAACAUCUCCUGGACUUUCUCAAGCUCCAGUCUUAGCAUUAAGUGGGACCCUGUGGUCCCUUUCCGAAAUGAGUCUGCAGUCACCGGCUAUAAGAUGCUGUACCAGAAUGACUUACACCUGACUCCCACGCUCCACCUCACCGGCAAGAACUGGAUAGAAAUCCCAGUGCCUGAAGACAUUGGCCAUGCCCUGGUACAAAUUCGGACCACAGGGCCCGGAGGGGAUGGGAUCCCUGCAGAAGUCCACAUCGUGAGGAAUGGAGGCACAAGCAUGAUGGUGGAGAACAUGGCAGUCCGCCCAGCACCACACCCUGGCACCGUCAUUUCCCACUCCGUGGCGAUGCUGAUCCUCAUAGGCUCCCUGGAGCUCUGAUCCUGGAACCCCUCCCUCUGCGCCGCAGCUGGACGCCACCUCCGACGGACACAGCCAGCCCCUUCCUGCUGCCAAGGUGGCCUGACACUGUGCCAGAGAGUGGCUGGUUUUAAAUACCUACUUUAAACAGUGCCCUUUUUGUAGGAGGUAGGAUAUUUUAUAUUCUGCCGCAGGAUAGAACCCACGCAAGGAUUUUCUUUAAAUUGAGAGGCACCAGGCAGUAACUUCCAUGAUGACACUGACGCCUAUACCUGAGCUCUAGGCUGCCUGGAGGGAAGGAACAGGCCCAUGGGAAGAAGGGGGUUUUAAAAACAUGUCUUCAACUCAGCAGAGAUGGAAUUCUGGGACCCUAUACGGACUCCGCCACUUGAGAGCAGUCCUAGGCCCGGCAGGAACACCAGACAUGAACAGGUUGAAGAACUGGAGCGAAGUGCACACCUCACCAUCUUUCAGUCUAAGGAAGAAGGGCAAGCCCUGGGACCAAGAACUCUCCUGCCUUCUCCCUUGAGCAGCAGCAAGGACCCUGACGCUGUCCCCGAUAACUCCCUAGGGGCUCCUGCCUGCCCAAGCGGCUGAGAACCAGCGCCCCGAUGCCUGAGGCUGGGAGCCUGAGCCCCUUCAGCUUUGAGGGGGGUGAUACUCCAGGCUGUUUGGGGUGGGAGCCAAAAAAAGUUGAGAGGCCAGGGCCCUUGGUGGAAAGGGGCACCAGCCUUGGUCUGAGAUAGUCACAACCCAGGUGACGAUGCCCUCUCAGCCAACACUGCCAACCUGACCCUGUCAUCCCGAUUGACAGCGCCACUUCAGGUGGCUGGGUGACUAAAGGGCUUGUCUUGGUGGGGUCUCCCACCCCUCCAAGACCCAUUCUGCACAGUCCCUCCAGGGUUUGGGCAGGAGAUGGCCAAUCAUGCGCCCACCUCUCCCUCCAGUGCUGCCUGCAGUCAGCUCGGCCUCCCCGACCUGCAGCCCCAGACUCUGCUCUCCCAGCACUGACUCACUCCUGCCUGGGAGGGGAAUGCAGCAUUCAUGCUGUGUGUCCUGGUAUUGGGAGGUUUCUGGGAAGGGCAGAGGAUAAAUGUGGCCCUGCCUGCUCCCAGGUAUACCUAGGACCACCUGGCCAGAUCCGCUCCCAGACGGCCUUGGACUGCUUGCAUUUCCCCGGAGAAAAAGGGGUUAAUAAAUGGGCCAUCCUUUCCUG